AGAGUUUGAUCAUGGCUCAGAGUGAGCGCUGGCGGUAGGCCUGGCACAUGCAAGUCGAACGGCAGCACAGUAAGAGCUUGCUCUUAUGGGUGGCGAGUGGCGGACGGGUGAGGAAUACAUCGGAAUCUGCCUUUUCGUGGGGGAUAACGUAGGGAAACUUACGCUAAUUCCGCCUAGGACCUUCGGGUGACCAUCAGGGGGCCUUCGGUCCCCGCCCUGAUACAUGAACCGAUGUAUGGCCAUGAUAGCGGAUGGGCUGGCCGUCCUUCUACG
RNAcentral lists this ribosomal RNA (273 nucleotides) under uncultured bacterium. RNAcentral describes it as "partial 16S ribosomal RNA". It matches the Rfam family "Bacterial small subunit ribosomal RNA", at positions 8 to 278 of the family's 1533-position model. The record is from RNAcentral.